UAUUAUUGUUAUACCUUACCAUGGACACGCCCGAUCUCGUCUGAUCUCGGAAAGCUAAGCAUGGUCGGGCCUGGUCAGUACUUUGAUGGGAGACCGCCUGGGAAUACCAGGUGCUGUAAGUG
Molecule: ribosomal RNA, 122 nt
Organism: Gadus morhua (Atlantic cod)
Lineage: Eukaryota; Metazoa; Chordata; Actinopteri; Gadiformes; Gadidae
Source: Ensembl